CCCCGGCGCCACAAGUGGCAACCGUGUAUUUGGCCUAAAGCGUCCGUAGCCGGUUCUGUGCAUCCCCUGUGAAAUUGUCCAGCCUAACUGGGCAGCGUGCAGGGGAUAUGGCAGAGCUAGGAACUGGGAGGCGUGAGCGGUAUUCUUGGGGGAACGGUAAAAUGUUAUAAUCCCAGGAAGACCACCGAUGGCGAAGGCAGCUCACGAGAACAGCUUCGACGGUGAGGGACGAAAGCUAGGGGAGC
Molecule: ribosomal RNA, 245 nt
Filed under: uncultured archaeon
Lineage: Archaea
Description: partial 16S ribosomal RNA
Rfam family: Archaeal small subunit ribosomal RNA
Source: RNAcentral